RNAcentral lists this ribosomal RNA (665 nucleotides) under uncultured cyanobacterium. RNAcentral describes it as "bacterial SSU rRNA". It matches the Rfam family "Bacterial small subunit ribosomal RNA", at positions 99 to 795 of the family's 1533-position model. The record is from RNAcentral. Lineage: Bacteria; Bacillati; Cyanobacteriota.
CGGACGGGUGAGUAACGCGUGAGAAUCUGGCUUCAGGUCUGGGACAACCACUGGAAACGGUGGCUAAUACCGGAUGUGCCCCUCGGGGUGAAAGGUUAACUGCCUGAAGAUGAGCUCGCGUCUGAUUAGCUAGUUGGAAGUGUAAUGGACUCCCAAGGCGACGAUCAGUAGCUGGUCUGAGAGGACGAUCAGCCACACUGGGACUGAGACACGGCCCAGACUCCUACGGGAGGCAGCAGUGGGGAAUUUUCCGCAAUGGGCGAAAGCCUGACGGAGCAAUACCGCGUGAGGGAGGAAGGCUCUUGGGUCGUAAACCUCUUUUCUCAGGGAAGAACACAAUGACGGUACCUGAGGAAUAAGCAUCGGCUAACUCCGUGCCAGCAGCCGCGGUAAUACGGAGGAUGCAAGCGUUAUCCGGAAUGAUUGGGCGUAAAGCGUCCGCAGGUGGCAAUGUAAGUCUGCUGUUAAAGAGUCUAGCUCAACUAGAUAAGAGCAGUGGAAACUACAUAGCUAGAGUACGUUCGGGGCAGAGGGAAUUCCUGGUGUAGCGGUGAAAUGCGUAGAGAUCAGGAAGAGCACCGGUGGCGAAGGCGCUCUGCUAGGCCGUAACUGACACUGAGGGACGAAAGCUAGGGGAGCGAAUGGGAUUAGAUACCCCAGUAGUC